This 467-nucleotide ribosomal RNA is filed under the name uncultured bacterium. RNAcentral's name for it is "partial 16S ribosomal RNA". It matches the Rfam family "Bacterial small subunit ribosomal RNA", at positions 28 to 506 of the family's 1533-position model. The record is from RNAcentral.
GACGAACGCUGGCGGCGUGCUUAACACAUGCAAGUCGAACGGAAAGGCCCUGCUUUUGUGGGGUGCUCGAGUGGCGAACGGGUGAGUAACACGUGAGUAACCUGCCCUUGACUUUGGGAUAACUUCAGGAAACUGGGGCUAAUACCGGAUAGGAGCUCCUGCUGCAUGGUGGGGGUUGGAAAGUUUCGGCGGUUGGGGAUGGACUCGCGGCUUAUCAGCUUGUUGGUGGGGUAGUGGCUUACCAAGGCUUUGACGGGUAGCCGGCCUGAGAGGGUGACCGGCCACAUUGGGACUGAGAUACGGCCCAGACUCCUACGGGAGGCAGCAGUGGGGAAUAUGGCACAAUGGGCGGAAGCCUGAUGCAGCAACGCCGCGUGCGGGAUGACGGCCUUCGGGUUGUAAACCGCUUUCGCCUGUGACGAAGCGUGAGUGACGGUAAUGGGGAAAGAAGCACCGGCUAACUACGU